GACGUAGGGGCCCAGCGUUGCUCGGAAUUACUGGGCGUAAAGGGUUCGUAGGCGGUGCGGCAAGUGGGGAGUGAAAUCUCCGGGCUCAACCCGGAGGCUGCUUUCCAAACUGCUGUGCUCGAGUGUGGGAGAGGCGAGUGGAAUUGCAGGUGUAGCGGUGAAAUGCGUAGAUAUCUGCAGGAACACCCGAGGCGAAAGCGGCUCGCUGGACCACAACUGACGCUGAGGAACGAAAGCUAGGGGAGCAAACAGGAUUAGAAA
Molecule: ribosomal RNA, 261 nt
Filed under: uncultured bacterium
Lineage: Bacteria
Description: partial 16S ribosomal RNA
Rfam family: Bacterial small subunit ribosomal RNA
Source: RNAcentral